RNAcentral lists this ribosomal RNA (305 nucleotides) under uncultured bacterium. Its description in RNAcentral is "bacterial SSU rRNA". It matches the Rfam family "Bacterial small subunit ribosomal RNA", at positions 335 to 659 of the family's 1533-position model. The record is from RNAcentral.
GUUCCUACGGGACGCAGCAGUGGGGGAUAUUGCACAAUGGGGGGAACCCUGAUGCAGCGACGCCGCGUGGGUGAAGAAGCGCCUCGGCGCGUAAAGCCCUGUCAGCAGGGAAGAAAAUGACGGUACCCAAAGAGGAAGCUCCGGCUAACUACGUGCCAGCAGCCGCGGUAAUACGUAGGGAGCGAGCGUUGUCCGGAAUUACUGGGUGUAAGGGAGCGUAGGCGGGCGAGAAAGUUGAAUGUUAAAUCUACCGGCUUAACUGGUAGCUGCGUUCAAAACUUCUUGUCUUGAGUGAAGUAGAGGCA